GACGAACGCUGGCGGCGUGCUUAACACAUGCAAGUCGAACGGAAAGGCCCUGCUUUUGUGGGGUGCUCGAGUGGCGAACGGGUGAGUAACACGUGAGUAACCUGCCCUUGACUUUGGGAUAACUUCAGGAAACUGGGGCUAAUACCGGAUAGGAGCUCCUGCUGCAUGGUGGGGGUUGGAAAGUUUCGGCGGUUGGGGAUGGACUCGCGGCUUAUCAGCUUGUUGGUGGGGUAGUGGCUUACCAAGGCUUUGACGGGUAGCCGGCCUGAGAGGGUGACCGGCCACAUUGGGACUGAGAUACGGCCCAGACUCCUACGGGAGGCAGCAGUGGGGAAUAUUGCACAAUGGGCGGAAGCCUGAUGCAGCAACGCCGCGUGCGGGAUGACGGCCUUCGGGUUGUAAACCGCUUUCGCCUGUGGCGAAGCGUGAGUGACGGUAAUGGGUAAAGAAGCACCGGCUAACUACGU
This 467-nucleotide ribosomal RNA is filed under the name uncultured bacterium. RNAcentral describes it as "partial 16S ribosomal RNA". It matches the Rfam family "Bacterial small subunit ribosomal RNA", at positions 28 to 506 of the family's 1533-position model. The record is from RNAcentral.